GACGAACGCUGGCGGCGUGCUUAACACAUGCAAGUCGAACGCUGAAGCACCAGCUUGCUGGUGUGGAUCAGUGGCGAACGGGUGAGUAAUACGUGAGUAACCUGCCCUUGACUCUGGGAUAAGCCCGGGAAACUGGGUCUAAUACUGGAUGCUACAUGUCACCGCAUGGUGGUGUGUGGAAAGGGUUUACUGGUCUUGGAUGGGCUCACGGCCUAUCAGCUUGUUGGUGAGGUAAUGGCUCACCAAGGCGACGACGGGUAGCCGGCCUGAGAGGGUGACCGGCCACACUGGGACUGAGACACGGCCCAGACUCCUACGGGAGGCAGCAGUGGGGAAUAUUGCACAAUGGGCGAAAGCCUAAUGCAGCGACGCCGCGUGAGGGAUGACGGCCUUCGGGUUGUAAACCUCUUUCAGCAGGGAAGAAGCCACAAGUGACGGUACCUGCAGAAGAAGCGCCGGCUAACUACGUG
This 470-nucleotide ribosomal RNA is filed under the name uncultured bacterium. RNAcentral describes it as "partial 16S ribosomal RNA". It matches the Rfam family "Bacterial small subunit ribosomal RNA", at positions 28 to 507 of the family's 1533-position model. The record is from RNAcentral.